GACGAACGCUGGCGGCGUGCUUAACACAUGCAAGUCGAGCGGUAAGGCCCUUUCGGGGGUACACGAGCGGCGAACGGGUGAGUAACACGUGGGUGACCUGCCCUUAGCUCUGGGAUAAGCCUGGGAAACUGGGUCUAAUACCGGAUAUGACUCCAUGACGCAUGUUGUGGGGUGGAAAGCCUUGUGCGGCUAGGGAUGGGCCCGCGGCCUAUCAGCUUGUUGGUGGGGUGAUGGCCUACCAAGGCGACGACGGGUAGCCGGCCUGAGAGGGCGACCGGCCACACUGGGACUGAGACACGGCCCAGACUCCUACGGGAGGCAGCAGUGGGAAUCUUGCGCAAUGGGCGAAAGCCUGACGCAGCGACGCCGCGUGAGGGAUGACGGCCUCGG
RNAcentral lists this ribosomal RNA (390 nucleotides) under uncultured bacterium. RNAcentral's name for it is "bacterial SSU rRNA". It matches the Rfam family "Bacterial small subunit ribosomal RNA", at positions 28 to 420 of the family's 1533-position model. The record is from RNAcentral.